UCAACUUCAUACACCAAUGAAUCAAAUGCUUUUUUGCGUUGCGUAGAAUCUAUUUAUCGCAACAUCUUGGACACAUUGCUCCUUCCGAACACUUUGUGUACGACUUUGAAAUUUUACGGGUUGUCCGGUGGAAAGAACGGAGCCAAUUCGCAGGAUGAGUUGCACCUUCGAUAUAGAUGCUUGCAUGCCACACAUAGAUACAUAAUAACUCUUACCACUACUGCAAAUUAAAUUAUCAAAUCGGAUUAUUCAAUUCAUUCAAUAAUACGAACAAAACUCUUCUACAUGGGUUGAGAAAAGGAGGCACACCGAAUUAACAUCACCAAUGAGUUUCUCCCUUAAAGGAGAUGUUCGAGAUAUAGUCGCCUAUGAGUUUCGUCCUAAAAAAAGACAUUACAAAUAAACAUCGCCAAUGAAGUUCUCCCUCAAAGGAGAUGUCAAAGGUGUAGUCGCCUAUCAGUUUCACGCCAUCAAUGGAGACACAUUGUGUGGUAAUCACCAAUGAGUUUCGCCCUCAAAGGAGACACAUCGUAACAUCACCAAUGAGUUUCGCCCUCAAAGGAGAUGUACGAGGUGUAGUCGCCUAUUAGUUUUGCCCUCAAUGGAGACACGUUGUGUGAUAGUCGCCAAUGAGUUUCACCCUCAAAGGAGACACAACGAAUUAACAUCGCCAAUAUGUUUUUUCUCUCAACAGGGAUCAAAGAUUGUCUCGUCCAAAUGACGAGAUGAGCUUUCUUGAAAAAAUGAAUUAAAUUUGAUAAACUUGCCAAAGGAAGAAGUAUGCUAUCCAAGAUAACGAUUUUCAUUUAAGACGAAUAAAAUUUCAAAAAAUAAAUCACAAAUGAACUGUUGCAGGUUGAUUAGUCCUACAUUUAAAAAAGCAUCACAAGUGAAAUAGAACUUUGAGCAAGUUAAACAACAUAAAUUAAUAAAACUUGUUGAUUGCAAAUAGGGGUGCCGCCACUGGCCCGUUAUACGAUUUUAAUCUCGAAUUAAUGUUGUGAAUAUUUUAGUAAUGUUAAAGUACAAAAGUAAGUAUUGUUUUUAUCGUCUCCACAAGGAGAGAUGCGAUAUUAGUGUCGUUCAACAAUUAAUAUUGUUUUAAGUAUAGAGAAAGAGUUUUGUUUAUAAACAUCCAAACUUACAAAGCAGAUAAAUUCAGGAAGAAAUAACAGGAGACAAGUUACUGGGAUUAUAUAUAGUUAACUACUCUUCUAAUGCAACCUCUUAAUCGAUUAUAUAUUUUACAAAUUUCAAUUAUAUUUUCAUCUAUUGCUCAUCGUACGUUUUCGUCCCCGGAUAACGGCGAUAUAUCUAAUCUACCUAUCCGAUCCCUCAGGUGAUUAAUCAAUCACAACAAGAAAAUAAUCAUAUACCGGCAGUCAAAUAGCGGCAGUUGCUCACCAACCGCAGCCGCUUCCACAUAUACCAGCAGUUUGGUAGCCGCCGCUCUUGUUCAUAUAAUACCGUCUGUUGGCUUAUAUCUAACACCGUCGGUUUGAAUCACCGCUGAUUGCUUAUAGUAGAUUUGGGAAAAACACUGCUACCUAAUCUACUUUCCCUUGUUUUUUUCUUCACUUUUCCCUCAUAUUUUUCAUUCUUUACCUCAUCCACAGAAGAAGCGUCAAAAUUGCUCCCGUCCUUUCGACGCCGUAGUUCCAUCCACAGUUGACGUUCCUCUCGUCGCCACCGCAGCUCCUCCUCAACACAGUGAGUGAUUCACUUCAAAUUCUGCUGGAGUUCCUGAUAAUCUCGUUCCUUUGCAAG
Molecule: long non-coding RNA, 1767 nt
Organism: Trifolium pratense (red clover)
Lineage: Eukaryota; Viridiplantae; Streptophyta; Magnoliopsida; Fabales; Fabaceae
Exons: 2
Source: RefSeq, a predicted model, not a curated record